Molecule: long non-coding RNA, 336 nt
Filed under: Cyanistes caeruleus (blue tit)
Lineage: Eukaryota; Metazoa; Chordata; Aves; Passeriformes; Paridae
Description: lncRNA (ENSCCEG00000019474.1)
Source: RNAcentral
GUCCCUCUGGAUCGCUUCCUGUCCCUCCAGCAUGUCACUCACACCACACAGCUCAGAGGUGUUUCAUUCACUGUUUUUAACUUACAUGUGACAGGGUGCAUGAAAGCAGAGGUAAAAAUAAUUGAUGCUCCUUCUCAAGUCAAUGCAAUGGAUAUGUUUAUACUGAUUUUUUUAAUUCCUCGAGAGGUCUGGAACAGGCCAAUAAUUUCAUUUCCACUGAAAUGUUUUUAACAUCUUCAGAAAAGUGGCUGCCUUCAGAGUCUGACUGGGUUUCAAAUGGUGCUCAUUUUAAUAAUGAAGAAGAUCUAGAACCUGUGCCAAUUUCUAUGGACUGAA